ACAAAGGCCCUUUUCAGGGCCGCCCACUUGUGUCUCGAAAGAGCUG
Non-coding RNA from Canis lupus familiaris (dog), 46 nucleotides. The record is from Rfam. Lineage: Eukaryota; Metazoa; Chordata; Mammalia; Carnivora; Canidae.